This 379-nucleotide ribosomal RNA is filed under the name uncultured Opitutaceae bacterium. RNAcentral describes it as "bacterial SSU rRNA". It matches the Rfam family "Bacterial small subunit ribosomal RNA", at positions 107 to 481 of the family's 1533-position model. The record is from RNAcentral. Lineage: Bacteria; Pseudomonadati; Verrucomicrobiota; Opitutia; Opitutales; Opitutaceae.
UGCGUAACACGUGAGCAACCUGCCCUUGAGUAUGGAAUAGCCCGACGAAAGUCGGAUUAAUGCCGUAUGUGGCCUUCUUUCGCAUGAAAGAGUGGCUAAAGCUUGUAAUGGCGCUCAAGGAUGGGCUCGCGGCCUAUCAGCUUGUUGGUGAGGUAAAAGCUCACCAAGGCUAAGACGGGUAGCUGGUCUGAGAGGAUGAUCAGCCACACCGGGACUGAGACACGGCCCGGACACCUACGGGUGGCAGCAGUUUCGAAUCAUUCACAAUGGGCGAAAGCCUGAUGGUGCAAUGCCGCGUGGAGGAUGACGGCCCUAGGGUUGUAAACUCCUGUCAUUGGGGAGCAACAAGCAGGUUUAUAGCCUGCCCUGAGUUAACCCA